RNAcentral lists this ribosomal RNA (523 nucleotides) under uncultured bacterium. Its description in RNAcentral is "bacterial SSU rRNA". It matches the Rfam family "Bacterial small subunit ribosomal RNA", at positions 8 to 524 of the family's 1533-position model. The record is from RNAcentral.
AGAGUUUGAUCCUGGCUCAGGAUGAACGCUAGCGGCAGGCUUAACACAUGCAAGUCGAGGGGUAACAGGGAUUGCUUGCAAUCCGCUGACGACCGGCGCACGGGUGCGUAACGCGUAUGCAACCUACCUUCUACAGGGGGAUAGUCAAUAGAAAUGUUGAAUAAUACCCCAUACGAUCUUUGAAUAGCAUUAUUUAAAGAAGAAAGUUCCGGCGGUAGAAGAUGGGCAUGCGUCCUAUUAGUUAGUUGGAGAGGUAACGGCUCCCCAAGACAUCGAUAGGUAGGGGUCCUGAGAGGGAGACCCCCCACACUGGUACUGAGACACGGACCAGACUCCUACGGGAGGCAGCAGUGAGGAAUAUUGGACAAUGGAGGCAACUCUGAUCCAGCCAUGCCGCGUGCAGGAAGACUGCCCUAUGGGUUGUAAACUGCUUUUAUACAGGAAGAAAUGUACCUACGUGUAGGUAUUUGACGGUACUGUACGAAUAAGGAUCGGCUAACUCCGUGCCAGCAGCCGCGGUAAU